RNAcentral lists this ribosomal RNA (1325 nucleotides) under Bacillus licheniformis. RNAcentral describes it as "bacterial SSU rRNA". It matches the Rfam family "Bacterial small subunit ribosomal RNA", at positions 71 to 1364 of the family's 1533-position model. The record is from RNAcentral. Lineage: Bacteria; Bacillati; Bacillota; Bacilli; Caryophanales; Bacillaceae.
GACGGGAGCUUGCUCCCUUAUGGUCAGCGGCGGACGGGUGAGUAACACGUGGGUAACCUGCCUGUAAGACUGGGAUAACUCCGGGAAACCGGGGCUAAUACCGGAUGCUUGAUUGAACCGCAUGGUUCAAUCAUAAAAGGUGGCUUUUAGCUACCACUUACAGAUGGACCCGCGGCGCAUUAGCUAGUUGGUGAGGUAACGGCUCACCAAGGCGACGAUGCGUAGCCGACCUGAGAGGGUGAUCGGCCACACUGGGACUGAGACACGGCCCAGACUCCUACGGGAGGCAGCAGUAGGGAAUCUUCCGCAAUGGACGAAAGUCUGACGGAGCAACGCCGCGUGAGUGAUGAAGGUUUUCGGAUCGUAAAACUCUGUUGUUAGGGAAGAACAAGUACCGUUCGAAUAGGGCGGCACCUUGACGGUACCUAACCAGAAAGCCACGGCUAACUACGUGCCAGCAGCCGCGGUAAUACGUAAGUGGCAAGCGUUGUCCGGAAUUAUUGGGCGUAAAGCGCGCGCAGGCGGUUUCUUAAGUCUGAUGUGAAAGCCCCCGGCUCAACCGGGGAGGGUCAUUGGAAACUGGGGAACUUGAGUGCAGAAGAGGAGAGUGGAAUUCCACGUGUAGCGGUGAAAUGCGUAGAGAUGUGGAGGAACACCAGUGGCGAAGGCGACUCUCUGGUCUGUAACUGACGCUGAGGCGCGAAAGCGUGGGGAGCGAACAGGAUUAGAUACCCUGGUAGUCCACGCCGUAAACGAUGAGUGCUAAGUGUUAGAGGGUUUCCGCCCUUUAGUGCUGCAGCAAACGCAUUAAGCACUCCGCCUGGGGAGUACGGUCGCAAGACUGAAACUCAAAGGAAUUGACGGGGGCCCGCACAAGCGGUGGAGCAUGUGGUUUAAUUCGAAGCAACGCGAAGAACCUUACCAGGUCUUGACAUCCUCUGACAACCCUAGAGAUAGGGCUUCCCCUUCGGGGGCAGAGUGACAGGUGGUGCAUGGUUGUCGUCAGCUCGUGUCGUGAGAUGUUGGGUUAAGUCCCGCAACGAGCGCAACCCUUGAUCUUAGUUGCCAGCAUUCAGUUGGGCACUCUAAGGUGACUGCCGGUGACAAACCGGAGGAAGGUGGGGAUGACGUCAAAUCAUCAUGCCCCUUAUGACCUGGGCUACACACGUGCUACAAUGGGCAGAACAAAGGGCAGCGAAGCCGCGAGGCUAAGCCAAUCCCACAAAUCUGUUCUCAGUUCGGAUCGCAGUCUGCAACUCGACUGCGUGAAGCUGGAAUCGNUAGUAAUCCGAUCAAGCAGCCGCGUAAGUGCGCCUUUUGGGGUG